Molecule: ribosomal RNA, 412 nt
Filed under: bacterium enrichment culture DGGE gel band A7
Lineage: Bacteria
Description: bacterial SSU rRNA
Rfam family: Bacterial small subunit ribosomal RNA
Source: RNAcentral
CAUCCAAGUGGAACGUGAAAGCAGCCUCGGCCCUGAGUAAAGUAGCGCUCGGGUGAGUAGCACGGGGAUAAUCUGCGUGAUGGACCGGGAUAACACUUCGAAAGGGGUGCUAAUACCGGAUAAGGAAACAGCNUNUUAAAAGCGGGAGGAAAAAGGUGGGGACCUUCCGGCCUGCAGUCAUCGGAUGAGUCCGCGUCCCAUUAGCUANNUGGUGGGGUAACGCCUUACCAAGGCAACGAUGGGUAGCUGGUNCAGAGGAUGAUCGGCCACACNGGAACUGAGACACGGUCCAGACUCCUNCGGGAGGCAGCAGUGGGGAAUUUUGCGCAAGGGGCCAAAGCGGAAUGCAGCAAAACGGGGGAAACCAUGAAGGCCCACGGGUCGUAAAAUUAAGUCAGUNGGGAAGAAACAA